ACGACAGUGGCGAAAGGGUGAGUAACGCGUGGGCAACUUGCCUCUGAGUUGGGGAUAACCUCUCGAAAGGGGGGCUAAUACCGAAUGUGGAGUUCCGCGGCAUCGCGGGACGGCUAAAGGUGGGGACCUUUCGGGGCCUGCCGCUCGGAGAUGGGCCCGCGUCCGAUCAGCUAGUUGGUGGGGUAACGGCUCACCAAGGCUAUGACCGGUAGCUGGUCUGAGAGGAUGGUCAGCCACACUGGGACUGAGAUACUGCCCAGACUCCUACGGGAGGCUGCAGUCGAGGAUCAUUCGCAAUGGGCGCAAGCCUGACGAUGCGACGCUGCGUGGAGGAUGAAGGCCUUCGGGUUGUAAACUCCUGUCAUGAGGGAAAAAUGGCUUUGUCUCUAAUACAGACAAGGCGUGAUGGUACUUCAGGAGGAAGCCACGGCUAACUCUGUGCCAGCAGCCGCGGUAAUACAGAGGUGGCGAGCGUUGUUCGGAUUUACUGGGCGUAAAGGGUGCGUAGGUGGCUUCGUGUGUCGGUUGUGAAAUCCCACGGCUCAACCGUGGAAUGGCGUCCGAAACUGCGAAGCUUGAGUACAGCAGGGGAGAGCGGAACUCUUGGUGUAGCGGUGAAAUGCGUUGAUAUCAAGAAGAACACCGGUGGCGAAGGCGGCUCUCUGGGAUGUUACUGACACUGAGGCACGAAAGCUGGGGGAGCAAACAGGAUUAGAUACCCUGGUAGUCCCAGCCCUAAACGGUGCGCACUUGGUGUUGGCGGUGUUGACCCCGCCAGUGCCGGGGCUAACGCGUUAAGUGCGCCGCCUGGGGAGUACGGCCGCAAGGCUAAAACUCAAAGAAAUUGACGGGGGCCCGCACAAGCGGAGGAGCAUGUGGCUUAAUUCGAUGCAACGCGAAGAACCUUACCAGGGCUUGACAUGUAACUGCACGCCCCGUGAAAGCGGGGUUCCUUCGAGGGUGUUACACAGGUGCUGCAUGGCUGUCGUCAGUUCGUGCCGUGAGGUGUUGGGUUAAGUCCCGCAACGAACGCAACCCCUGUGGUUAGUUGCCACCGUAGGUGAUAAGCCUACGAGCACUUUAGCCAGACUGCCCGUACAAGCGGGAGGAAGGUGGGGAUGACGUCAAGUCAGUAUGGCCCUUACGCCCUGGGCUGCACACGUGCUACAAUGACCGGUAUAGAGGGAUGCGAAACCGCGAGGUGGAGCAAAUCCAUAAAACCGGCCUCAGUUCGGAUUGUAGUCUGCAACUCGACUACAUGAAGUUGGAUUCGCUAGUAACGGCGCAUCAGCUACGGCGCCGUGAAUACGUUCCCGGGCCUUGUACACACCGCCCGUCACAUCAUGAAAGCCGUCUGCACCCGUAGCCGCUGAUCCAAUCUGCAUUAGUAGAAGGAAGGCGUCUAAGGUGUGGGUGGUGAUUGGGAUGAAGUCGAAACAAGGUA
RNAcentral lists this ribosomal RNA (1444 nucleotides) under metagenome. RNAcentral describes it as "bacterial SSU rRNA". It matches the Rfam family "Bacterial small subunit ribosomal RNA". The record is from RNAcentral.